AGAGUUUGAUCCUGGCUCAGGAUGAACGCUAGCGGCAGGCCUAACACAUGCAAGUCGAGGGGUAUUAGGAGCUUGCUUCUGAGAGACCGUCGCACGGGUGAGUAACGCGUAUGCAAUCUACCUUUCACAAGAGAAUAGCCCGGAGAAAUCCGGAUUAAUGCUCUAUAGUUUAUAGAACUGGCAUCGGUUUUAUAAUAAAGAUUUAUCGGUGAAAGAUGAGCAUGCGUCUCAUUAGCUAGUUGGUGUGGUAACGCCAUACCAAGGCAAUGAUGAGUAGGGGUCCUGAGAGGGAGAUCCCCCACACUGGUACUGAGACACGGACCAGACUCCUACGGGAGGCAGCAGUGAGGAAUAUUGGUCAAUGGAGGCAACUCUGAACCAGCCAUGCCGCGUGCAGGAUGACGAUCCUAUGGAUUGUAAACUGCUUUUGUACAGGAAGAAAUGCAAUUACGUGUAGUUGUUUGACGGUACUGUAAAAUAAGGACCGGC
This 489-nucleotide ribosomal RNA is filed under the name uncultured prokaryote. Its description in RNAcentral is "bacterial SSU rRNA". It matches the Rfam family "Bacterial small subunit ribosomal RNA", at positions 8 to 497 of the family's 1533-position model. The record is from RNAcentral.